RNAcentral lists this unclassified non-coding RNA (335 nucleotides) under soil metagenome. Its description in RNAcentral is "partial contains 5.8S ribosomal RNA, internal transcribed spacer 2, and large subunit ribosomal RNA". The stretch from base 1 to 119 matches the Rfam family "5.8S ribosomal RNA", at positions 35 to 154 of the family's 154-position model. The record is from RNAcentral.
GAUGAAGACGUAGCGAAAUGCGAUAAGUAGUGUGAAUUGCAGAAUUCAGUGAAUCAUCGAAUCUUUGAACGCACAUUGCGCCCCUUGGUAUUCCAUGGGGCAUGCCUGUUCGAGCGUCAUUUGUACCUUCAAGCUUUGCUUGGUGUUGGGUGUUUGUCUCGCCUUUGCGUGUAGACUCGCCUUAAAAUAAUUGGCAGCCGGCGUAUUGAUUUCGGAGCGCAGUACAUCUCGCGCUUUGCACUCAUAACGACAGCGUCCAAAAGUACAUUUUACACUCUUGACCUCGGAUCAGGUAGGGAUACCCGCUGAACUUAAGCAUAUCAAUAAGCGGAGGA